Molecule: ribosomal RNA, 439 nt
Filed under: uncultured bacterium
Lineage: Bacteria
Description: partial 16S ribosomal RNA
Rfam family: Bacterial small subunit ribosomal RNA
Source: RNAcentral
CCUACGGGAGGCAGCAGUGGGGAAUAUUGCACAAUGGGGGAAACCCUGAUGCAGCGACGCCGCGUGAGCGAAGAAGUAUUUCGGUAUGUAAAGCUCUAUCAGCAGGGAAGAUAAUGACGGUACCUGACUAAGAAGCCCCGGCUAACUACGUGCCAGCGGCCGCGGUAAUACGUAGGGGGCAAGCGUUAUCCGGAUUUACUGGGUGUAAAGGGUGCGUAGGUGGCAGGGCAAGUCAGAGUUGAAAGCCCGGGAGCAACCCCGGUGCUGCAUUUGAAACUGUCCAGCUGGAGUGCAGGAGAGGUAAGCGGAAUUCGCGGUGUAGCGGUGAAAUGCUUAGAGAUUGCGCAGAACCCCGAUUGCGAAGGCAGCGUACCGGCUCCACACUGACGCUGAGGCACGAAAGCGUGGGUAUCGAACAGGAUUAGAUACCCCUGUAGUC